RNAcentral lists this long non-coding RNA (740 nucleotides) under Nicotiana tabacum (common tobacco). RNAcentral's name for it is "long non-coding RNA (NTAB_LNC012505)". The record is from RNAcentral. Lineage: Eukaryota; Viridiplantae; Streptophyta; Magnoliopsida; Solanales; Solanaceae.
UUGAAUCUUAGAUCUAGGAAACUUUCCCGUCACUUUUUUUGCCCAAAUUCUUGAAGUUCCAACCACUACCACCCCACAAUACUUACAUCAAUGGAUAGAGCUCCUCAAGACCUAGCUAUUGAUGCCAAUUUCACCCUGAAUAUCCGGCGAUCAAAAUCCGGCCUAAUUCCGGCGACCUCCCCGAACACCCUCUUUUGGCAUACCACCAUUUUUUCGGCCACUUGAAUUGCAAAAUGGUAAAAAUCCUAUUAUUUUUCGUGGCUGAUUUUUUAUUUUAUUUUUUAUUUUUUUUCAGAUUUUAUUUUGUUUAUUAUUAAUUAUUUUAGCAUUAGUUUUUGAAGUUUGAAAUGUUAAAUUUUCUGUUUUUGCACUUGUUGAAGUAGUAAAAUAGUUUUGUAUUGAUAAAAGUGAGGUAGUGAAAAAUACUUAAGAGUAUAUGGUACUUGUUAGGUUAUUUAUUUGCUGUUGAAGACUCUUUGAGUACAACACUCAAAAGUCAAACUGUUUGGUAAGAAAAUGUAGAUCUUUGGACAGUGUUUGAAUAAAAGCCUAUCUUUGAAUAGUGGAAGCAGAUUUGUUUGAAAUACUUGACAAGAUUUGAAUCAAAAAGUCUGGCAUUUUGAAUUUAAGAGCAGAUUUAUUAGAAAAAAUCUGUCAAAAAGAUUGAUUUUUAAUUUUUGAAAUAGCUGGUUGUUUUGAUAUAUAGGCGGGACUCCAUCACAUUUGAAAUGGGCAUUAUU